GACAAAAAUGUUUGCGUGUCACGAUUACUGUAGGUGUGCAUUGCUAAAUCUUGGCUGCUGAGUAGAGCUUGAUAUGGUGUUGUUACCUAUUAUUUUGAUGUAGCUGAAUAUAAUAUGGAGUAAUUCUUACAGGAAAAGGUAUUGAUGAAUACGUCUGUAAAGAGAUAUAGCCAAUGAAUGUUGAAAUUCUGUCAUUUUUCAGAGGAGAAAAAAAAAAGAGAGUAGUGGGAAUAUUGCAUUUUGUAUGAGCAAAUGCUUCAAAUUUAUAAGCUUGUGACUGGUCUUGAUUCAUAUUUGUGGCUAGUUAAAUUCAAUGGAACUAAAGAAUCUAAAUUUUUAAAAGAUAUAUUUUUUUUCUGUAACCAUUUUGGUAAAUUCUCUUUGUUUAACAAAUAUGUGGAAUGUUCCUCCCAAAAGGGCCAGAAAAAAAUAAGUAAUCAUGCGCAUUACCUUGUAUUGGCACAAGUGCUUCUAACAAGAGUAUGUUGCUUACUGAAAAAAAAACAAAAAAAUUAGUUAUGAAUUUGACAGUCAUAUUAAGUGAGUAAGUUGAACUGAAGACUCAUCACAAUCUUUUCAUCCUAGCAGUGCCCUGCGGUAAUCACUCAGAGGAGGCUCUUCCUUGCCUACAUGGGAGCAUUAGAGGCCCUCCAUUGUGCUGAGGAUUUUGUCAGUAAUGUCAUCACUACAGCACAGGGCAGAUCUGCACCCAUCUUGCUAUCUGCGUCUUCCAUGGGUCAGAGGUCUACAGGAAGCUCCACAACACCUCCUCUCUGCUCAUUUCUUCUUCCAGAGAAGUCAGAGCGUGCAAUGUGGAGGAAUGGGAUGAGCUCCCUCCAUCACACAGGUGGAAAAGGGAAGCGAUGCUCUGCUCACACACUGGCCAAUGACACCGUGAGAUUAAACCACUCUCAAGAAAAAAAGCCUUCAGAUUUAUUUCUGGAAGAGAGUUUUGAGUUUCAAGACCAGUAAUAACUUAUACAGGGACAUGGUAUAGCUGUUAGUUUCAGUAUCUCUUAUUUACAUAUGAGAAGUGUUUAAUGCCAGGAUUCUUUACUGCUUUGCUUUGUGUCUUGGGGACUCCACUGAGUGUAGGUCUACAGACCCAGUGAGGGUCUACAAGAUUAUACAGAGGGGAAGAUCUUUGUGAGCGAUAUUGGAAGAAUUAUUUAUUUAUUUAUUUUAAGGAGAGUAACUGUGGGUAAAGUACAAAUUGGAAACAUUUCUUAAAAGAGAACUACUUGGGAAGAGGUCAUAUACAUCAAUCCUAUUAUCUAGAAAAAUGCUCUGCUUUUACAAAGUUUUCACUACUCAAGUUAAACACCGCUUCUUUUAUAGAGGAAUUCUGUAUGGGGCAAGGGCAGAAAAUGUGAUUAUUCAGUCCUGGGUGAAUGUUUCCUCUGAACAUCAUGACUGAAAACCACGGAAGCAAAACAGCAUU
Molecule: long non-coding RNA, 1441 nt
Organism: Anas platyrhynchos (mallard)
Lineage: Eukaryota; Metazoa; Chordata; Aves; Anseriformes; Anatidae
Source: RefSeq, a predicted model, not a curated record